UACGGAGGGUGCAAGCGUUGUCCGGAAUCACUGGGCGUAAAGGGCGCGUAGGCGGCUCAUGAAGGCUGUGGUGAAAGUCCGGGGCUCAACCUCGGAUCGGCCGUGGCGACUCGUGGGCUGGAGCACUGUAGAGGCGGGUGGAAUUCCGGGUGUAGCGGUGGAAUACGUAGAGAUCCGGAAGAACACCGGUGGCGAAGGCGGUCUGCUGGGCAGUUGCUGACACUGAGGCGCGACAGCGUGGGGAGCAAACAGG
Molecule: ribosomal RNA, 253 nt
Filed under: uncultured bacterium
Lineage: Bacteria
Description: partial 16S ribosomal RNA
Rfam family: Bacterial small subunit ribosomal RNA
Source: RNAcentral